RNAcentral lists this ribosomal RNA (1346 nucleotides) under uncultured bacterium. RNAcentral's name for it is "bacterial SSU rRNA". It matches the Rfam family "Bacterial small subunit ribosomal RNA", at positions 28 to 1381 of the family's 1533-position model. The record is from RNAcentral.
GACGAACGCUGGCGGCGUGCUUAACACAUGCAAGUCGAACGGAAAGGCCCUGCUUUUGUGGGGUGCUCGAGUGGCGAACGGGUGAGUAACACGUGAGUAACCUGCCCUUGACUUUGGGAUAACUUCAGGAAACUGGGGCUAAUACCGGAUAGGAGCUCCUGCUGCAUGGUGGGGGUUGGAAAGUUUCGGCGGUUGGGGAUGGACUCGCGGCUUAUCAGCUUGUUGGUGGGGUAGUGGCUUACCAAGGCUUUGACGGGUAGCCGGCCUGAGAGGGUGACCGGCCACAUUGGGACUGAGAUACGGCCCAGACUCCUACGGGAGGCAGCAGUGGGGAAUAUUGCACAAUGGGCGGAAGCCUGAUGCAGCAACGCCGCGUGCGGGAUGACGGCCUUCGGGUUGUAAACCGCUUUCGCCUGUGACGAAGCGUGAGUGACGGUAAUGGGUAAAGAAGCACCGGCUAACUACGUGCCAGCAGCCGCGGUGAUACGUAGGGUGCGAGCGUUGUCCGGAUUUAUUGGGCGUAAAGGGCUCGUAGGUGGUUGAUCGCGUCGGAAGUGUAAUCUUGGGGCUUAACCCUGAGCGUGCUUUCGAUACGGGUUGACUUGAGGAAGGUAGGGGAGAAUGGAAUUCCUGGUGGAGCGGUGGAAUGCGCAGAUAUCAGGGGGAACACCAGUGGCGAAGGCGGUUCUCUGGGCCUUUCCUGACGCUGAGGAGCGAAAGCGUGGGGAGCGAACAGGCUUAGAUACCCUGGUAGUCCACGCUGUAAACGGUGGGUACUAGGUGUGGGGUCCAUUCCACGGGUUCCGUGCCGUAGCUAACGCUUUAAGUACCCCGCCUGGGGAGUACGGCCGCAAGGCUAAAACCCAAAGGAAUUGACGGGGCCCCGCACAAGCGGCGGAGCAUGCGGAUUAAUUCGAUGCAACGCGUAGAACCUUACCUGGGUUUGACAUGGAUCGGGAGCGCUCAGAGAUGGGUGUGCCUCUUUUGGGGUCGGUUCACAGGUGGUGCAUGGCUGUCGUCAGCUCGUGUCGUGAGAUGUUGGGUUAAGUCCCGCAACGAGCGCAACCCUUGUUCACUGUUGCCAGCACGUUAUGGUGGGGACUCAGUGGAGACCGCCGGGGUCAACUCGGAGGAAGGUGGGGAUGACGUCAAGUCAUCAUGCCCCUUAUGUCCAGGGCUUCACGCAUGCUACAAUGGCUGGUACAGGGAGUGGCGAGCCUGUGAGGGUGAGCGAAUCUCGGAAAGCCGGUCUCAGUUCGGAUUGGGGUCUGCAACUCGACCUCAUGAAGUCGGAGUCGCUAGCAAUCGCAGAUCAGCAACGCUGCGGUGAAUACGUUCCCGGGGCU